CGCGCGGCGCGGAGGCCAUAGCGGGCGAUUUAAAAAUGGGUGAUGUUGAGAAGGGCAAGAAGAUUUUUGUUCAGAAGUGUGCCCAGUGCCAUACCGUGGAAAAGGGAGGCAAGCACAAGACUGGGCCAAAUCUGCAUGGUUUAUUUGGCCGAAAGACAGGUCAGGCCCCUGGAUUUUCUUACACCGAUGCCAACAAGAAUAAAGGCAUCACCUGGGGAGAGGAGACACUGAUGGAGUAUUUGGAGAAUCCCAAGAAGUACAUCCCUGGGACAAAAAUGAUCUUCGCUGGCAUUAAGAAGACAGAGGAAAGAGCAGACUUGAUAGCUUAUCUCAAAAAAGCUACUAAGGAGUAAUAGUUGGCCAUUGCCUUAUUUAUUGCAAAACAAAAAUGUUUCAUGACUUUAUGUGUUCAAUUGAUCUCAUACACCAGAAUUCAGAUCAUGAAUGGCUGAUAGAAUAUUUCUUUUGGACAGUCCUGAUUUAAAUAAGGUUGGCUUGUGGUUAAAUGAAUAUGAUCAGCUUUUUGAACUUUGAUAGUAAUUCUGGUUCAGCAAGUGCUGUCAGUUUUCCCCUUUUAAAAAUAUG
Enhydra lutris kenyoni (northern sea otter) is the source of this 585-nucleotide RNA transcript. It is a transcript of the gene named cytochrome c pseudogene, with no coding region annotated. The transcript has a single exon. Lineage: Eukaryota; Metazoa; Chordata; Mammalia; Carnivora; Mustelidae. The record is from RefSeq and is a predicted model, not a curated record.